AUUGCACGCUGGCGGCAGGCCUAACACAUGCAAGUCGAACGAGUGGCGGACGGGUGAGUAAUGUCUGGGAAACUGCCUGAUGGAGGGGGAUAACUACUGGAAACGGUAGCUAAUACCGCAUACCAUCGGAUGUGCCCAGAGGGGAUUAGCUAGUAGGUGGGGUAAAGGCUAACCUAGGCGACGAGCCCUAGCUGGUCUGCGAGGAUGACCAGCCACACUGGAACUGAGACACGGUCCAGACUCCUACGGGAGGCAGCAGUGGGGAAUAUUGCACAAUGGGCGCAAGCCUGAUGCAGCCAUGCCGCGUGUAUGAAGAAGGCCUUCGGGUUGUAAAGUACUUUCAGCGGGGAGGCGUUACCCGCAGAAGAAGCACAGGCUAACUCCGUGCCAGCCGCCGCGGUAAUAC
RNAcentral lists this ribosomal RNA (406 nucleotides) under uncultured bacterium. Its description in RNAcentral is "partial 16S ribosomal RNA". It matches the Rfam family "Bacterial small subunit ribosomal RNA", at positions 30 to 526 of the family's 1533-position model. The record is from RNAcentral.